UUGCUUUGGUAGCGGAUAUACUAAAAUCGGCACAAUAUGGAAGAGAUUAGCAUGGUGCUGGGCAAGGAAGACAGGCAAAUUUGUGAAGUAUUAAAAAAAAAU
Molecule: small nuclear RNA, 102 nt
Filed under: Microcebus murinus (gray mouse lemur)
Lineage: Eukaryota; Metazoa; Chordata; Mammalia; Primates; Cheirogaleidae
Source: RNAcentral